UUUUUAGACCUUCCUGGAGGAGCUUGCCAUUAAACCGAUAACCCACGAAAAACCUCACCAGUCUUUGAAAAGUCAACUUGUAUACCAUCGUCGUCAGUCUACCUCAUAAGAGUAGUAUACAAAAAGAACUCCAUAAUCUUCUUUACGUCAGAUCGAGGUGCAGUUUAUAGACCGGGAAUGAGUGAGCUACAAUAUUAAAACAAGUUUACUCUUAACUAAACAUAAUUAUGAACAAUUUUUUGAAAACAUAAAUUUGAAAAAGGAUUCAGAAGUAAUAUAUAAAAGAAAAUAUUUAUGAAAUAUACAGCUCUAAAAUGCGC
Molecule: ribosomal RNA, 320 nt
Filed under: Remaster gourdoni
Lineage: Eukaryota; Metazoa; Echinodermata; Asteroidea; Velatida; Korethasteridae
Description: partial 12S ribosomal RNA
Source: RNAcentral